UCACUUCCCCCUCCUCCCCUGAAUGCUCCGCUCUCCUUCUCCUCCCGCUCCCCUGCUUCCCGCGAAUCAGAUGUUUGCAAGAAGCCUGAAACAAGCAGCAGGCACGCAGGGGCUGUCAGGCAUCUUAUGGUUAUGGUUCCCUGAUUCCCUGCCCAGCUCAGACCUGGCUCCAAGGUAACUUCAAGCAGCCUAGAGGCUACUCUAACCUUUGAAGCAACCUUGAGAUCAAAGACUAUAAAACCUCUGGAAGAAGCCGCAAAAAAGCAAAGA
Long non-coding RNA from Gopherus flavomarginatus (Mexican gopher tortoise), 270 nucleotides. RefSeq lists it as uncharacterized. The record is from RefSeq and is a predicted model, not a curated record. The transcript has 3 exons. NCBI's taxonomy places the organism in Eukaryota, Metazoa, Chordata, Testudines, Testudinidae.